Molecule: long non-coding RNA, 353 nt
Organism: Anguilla rostrata (American eel)
Lineage: Eukaryota; Metazoa; Chordata; Actinopteri; Anguilliformes; Anguillidae
Exons: 4
Source: RefSeq, a predicted model, not a curated record
ACAGAGGUGUGUCUGGACGUUUCUCUGUACACAGUGUUCAGAUGAAACAGGUGUUCUCACGUUUCUCAGUACAGAGAGUGUUCAGGUGUUCUCACGUUUCUCAGUACAGAGAGUGUUCAGGUGUACUCCCGUUUCUCAGUACAGAGAGUGUUCAGGUGUACUCACGUUUCUCAGUACAGAGAGUGUUCAGGUGUAACAGGUGUACUCACGUUUCUCAGUACAGAGAGUGUCCAGGUGUGACAGGUGUACUCACGUUUCUCAGUACAGAGAGUGUCCAGGUGUUCUCACGUUUCUCAGUACAGAGAGUGUUCAGGUGUAACAGGUGUACUCACGUUUCUCUGCGCGUAGUGUGU